AAGAAUUAGUCGAGUUACACAUUAAACUUCUCAGAAAAAGACGUAAAUAUAUUCAACGGGACAAAUGGGAAAGAGCAUUAGUUAAAUUUAUCUCAGAAUAUUCUAAUGUCGAUGCUUAAGAACUCGAAAGAUAUGGAUACAAAAAUGUCAAUCUCGGUAUCAGACUCGCUGCUUUCAAGAAUCUCCUUGAAGCUCAAUUUGAUUACAAUGCCAAAUUUAAAACCGGUAUCAAUGCUAUGGAAGCUCAAUCUCUCCGUUUGGCUCCCAUAGGAAGGGAUAUUCAUGGUAACCAAUAUUGGUUUCAACUUGAUUCUGAAUUUUGUUUAAGACUUUACCGCGAAGAGCCGGAUGAUGAAAAGUCUUGGAUUCUUAUUUGCAAAAACAAAGUUGAUCUCGAGUUUUUAAUCUCAAGCCUACAAACACAAACUCUUGACCAACUUAAAGAUUCUGCACCAACGGCCGAUACGGAGCAUAAGGUCCACUUUCUCAUUCGACCAUAAGCUUAUUCCCAUUGAAG
This is a long non-coding RNA of Panonychus citri (citrus red mite), 517 nucleotides long. RefSeq lists it as uncharacterized. The record is from RefSeq and is a predicted model, not a curated record. The transcript has 3 exons. Lineage: Eukaryota; Metazoa; Arthropoda; Arachnida; Trombidiformes; Tetranychidae.